CAGUCGCCACGGUAAUACGUAGGGUGCAAGCGUUAAUCGGAAUUACUGGGCGUAAAGCGUGCGCAGGCGGUUUUGUAAGACAGGCGUGAAAUCCCCGGGCUCAACCUGGGAAUGGCGCUUGUGACUGCAAAGCUAGAGUGCGGCAGAGGGGGAUGGAAUUCCGCGUGUAGCAGUGAAAUGCGUAGAUAUGCGGAGGAACACCGAUGGCGAAGGCAAUCCCCUGGGCCUGCACUGACGCUCAUGCACGAAAGCGUGGGGAGCAUACAGGAUUAGAGACCCGAGUAGUCCCUGUCUCUUAUAC
This 301-nucleotide ribosomal RNA is filed under the name uncultured bacterium. RNAcentral's name for it is "partial 16S ribosomal RNA". It matches the Rfam family "Bacterial small subunit ribosomal RNA", at positions 509 to 807 of the family's 1533-position model. The record is from RNAcentral.